UGAGGAAUAUUGGUCAAUGGGCGAGAGCCUGAACCAGCCAAGUCGCGUGAAGGAAGACUGCCUUAUGGGUUGUAAACUUCUUUUAUACAGGAAUAAAAAGGCUUACGUGUAGGCCAUUGCAAGUACUGUAUGAAUAAGCAUCGGCUAACUCCGUGCCAGCAGCCGCGGUAAUACGGAGGAUGCGAGCGUUAUCCGGAUUUAUUGGGUUUAAAGGGUGCGCAGGCGGGCUUUUAAGUCAGCGGUGAAAUCUGGACGCUUAACGUCCAAACUGCCGUUGAAACUGGGAGUCUUGAGUAUGGAUGAAGUAGGCGGAAUUCGUUGUGUAGCGGUGACAUGCAUAGAUAUAACGAGGAACUCCGAUUGCGUAGGCAGCUUACUAAGCCAUAACUGACGCUCAUGCACGAAAGCGUGGGGAUCAAACAGGAUUAGAUACCCUGGUAGUCCACGCCGUAAACGAUGAUUACUAGUUGUAUGCGAUAUGAUAGUAUGUGACUAAGCGAAAGCGAUAAGUAAUCCACCUGGGGAGUACGCC
This 532-nucleotide ribosomal RNA is filed under the name uncultured bacterium. RNAcentral describes it as "partial 16S ribosomal RNA". It matches the Rfam family "Bacterial small subunit ribosomal RNA", at positions 355 to 886 of the family's 1533-position model. The record is from RNAcentral.